Long non-coding RNA from Pleuronectes platessa (European plaice), 1402 nucleotides. RefSeq lists it as uncharacterized. The transcript is spliced from 2 exons. NCBI's taxonomy places the organism in Eukaryota, Metazoa, Chordata, Actinopteri, Pleuronectiformes, Pleuronectidae. The record is from RefSeq and is a predicted model, not a curated record.
GAAGGAAGGCUGCGCGGCCGCGAGGAAGGCGGACAUGGGGAAGUCGGUCGCCCGGUGUGCGUGGAAAGGGUGAUAAGCCAUUGCAGUCCCUGUGAAAACUGGAUCUCUCAUCGGUGCAUCCACAAAAACCAAGUGAAAUAAUGGAUAUCUGAGUGGUAGUUCCCCCGACCUGGAGCCGGUGUAGGUCCGCGCCGGGCGAGCAGUUACUGUGUGUGAAGCCGCACGGAGGAGCGCGGCGCCUUGUCACAACGCGUAAUCAGAGCGGAGAGCGAACAGCCCGGAGUCGUUGUGCGUUCUGUCCUCUGGUUCCUGCGCCGAGUUCCUCAGUGUGAGCGGCGCGGUGCGCGGAGAGCGCGGCUGGGCGCUGGGUGGCUCUGAAGAGAAAUAAGCUGAGCUGCAGUCAUCCCACACUGACUGGAGAGAUGUGGCCCCGUUCACUGCAGAUCUGUGACUAUCUCACAUGUCCUUCCUGCCUCCAUCCCCAGCACUAAUGAACCAAGCCCCUUUGAUUGCUGAUUUUACGCUUUCUGGACCAAUUGUGGGCCCCUAUAGGCGUGGUUCUGACAGCUCCGGCCAGACUCUGGGAGAGGAGGGGGGGGGGACAAUAAGGUGUCGGAAGCAUUAGCAGUAAGAAAACAUGUCAACAGGAUAAAAUAUUAACCAAUGACAGGAAAGAUCGGGAAAUCCCACCCCCAUUUCCAAGCCAAACACCGGGUCAGCCCUCAGUCUUUGGCCGGUGGAGGCAUCACUUCUCUCGGCUUGCGUUUUUACAAUGUCGCCUCCGGAGAAAGCAAACCUGUCCCCUGUCCUAAAACUCACCUUUAUAGAGAGGAACAGCUCCACUCCUCCACCUCCACCCCUGUCUGUCAGAACAGCCCAGCACAGUCACUCCUCCACCCGCAGCUCAUGCGCUACAGUACGGACAUGCUUCCCAAAGCAGCCGCUCUCUCUCUCUCUGCCUCUCGGGCUCUCCUAUAACAACAGACUCGUUAUGACUCCCUAGUUCUCGGCUGUUUUGACGCUAGCCCGGGCUCUGUUAGCCGAGUGUAGCUCGCCCGGCCCCGGGUUCCUCAGAUAUCUGUGCGCGGGGCUCACCGGUCUCCGGGGGGAGCAGCGGCCGCAGCAGCAGCGGCACAGAGCCGAGGCUGGGACGCACAAAGCCCGGCGCUGCGUGGAGGAAAACCCCAGAUGAAUGAUGAUGAAUGAAUUCUGAGAGAACACUCGGGGAGAAGGAGACGCGAUGUGUUGACAGCAACUGAAGCAGCAGCUGCGGCAGCGGAGGAGCCGGGGCUGAUACCUGCAGGCCGCACACACACACACACACACACACACACACACACACACACACACACACACACACACACACACACACACACACACACACACAAACACACACACGCAC